This is a non-coding RNA of Eublepharis macularius, 72 nucleotides long. NCBI's taxonomy places the organism in Eukaryota, Metazoa, Chordata, Lepidosauria, Squamata, Eublepharidae. The record is from the annotation of a RefSeq genome assembly.
GGGGCUGUGGCUCAGUGGUAGAGCGUCUUUUUUGCAUGUAGAAGGUCCCAGGUUCAAUCCCUGGCAUCUCCA